AUAUCAUUUAAAUCUUUUGAAAGAAUAACUUUCACAAUUCCACUUUCAAAUCACUUCACCAUUCACCAUAGACACAAGGAAACAAACACACACUGGGAGAUCCUAUAACCGACAUAAACCAUGUGAGCUACAUGGAGUCCAACGUACAACCCACGUUGGGGAGAGACGUCCUAUCCUUGACAUCGGAGUAGGACUAUCGAUAUCAAAUCCAC
This 212-nucleotide long non-coding RNA is filed under the name Capsicum annuum. Its description in RNAcentral is "long non-coding RNA (CANN_LNC008450)". The record is from RNAcentral. Lineage: Eukaryota; Viridiplantae; Streptophyta; Magnoliopsida; Solanales; Solanaceae.